This 640-nucleotide ribosomal RNA is filed under the name uncultured bacterium. RNAcentral's name for it is "bacterial SSU rRNA". It matches the Rfam family "Bacterial small subunit ribosomal RNA", at positions 75 to 716 of the family's 1533-position model. The record is from RNAcentral.
GGAGCUUGCUCCUUGGAUCAGUGGCGAACGGGUGAGUAACACGUGAGCAAUCUGCCCUUGACUCUGGGAUAACUGCGGGAAACUGUAGCUAAUACCGGAUAUUACCUUGGAAGGCAUCUUCUGUGGUGGAAAGAAUUUUGGUCAAGGAUGAGCUCGCGGCCUAUCAGCUAGUUGGUGAGGUAAUGGCUCACCAAGGCGACGACGGGUAGCCGGCCUGAGAGGGUGACCGGCCACACUGGGACUGAGACACGGCCCAGACUCCUACGGGAGGCAGCAGUGGGGAAUAUUGCACAAUGGGCGCAAGCCUGAUGCAGCAACGCCGCGUGAGGGACGAAGGCCUUCGGGUUGUAAACCUCUUUUAGUAGGGAAGAAGUGACUGGGUUUUCCUGGAAGUGACGGUACCUGCAGAAAAAGCACCGGCUAACUACGUGCCAGCAGCCGCGGUAAUACGUAGGGUGCAAGCGUUGUCCGGAAUUAUUGGGCGUAAAGAGCUCGUAGGCGGUUUGUUGCGUCUGCUGUGAAAACCCGAGGCUCAACCUCGGGCCUGCAGUGGGUACGGGCAGACUAGAGUGCGGUAGGGGAGAUUGGAAUUCCUGGUGUAGCGGUGGAAUGCGCAGAUAUCAGGAGGAACACCAAUGGC